Molecule: ribosomal RNA, 221 nt
Filed under: uncultured bacterium
Lineage: Bacteria
Description: partial 16S ribosomal RNA
Rfam family: Bacterial small subunit ribosomal RNA
Source: RNAcentral
AAUGAACGCUGGCGGCGUGCCUAACACAUGCAAGUCGAACGGAAGUAGCAAUACUUCAGUGGCGCACGGGUGAGUAAUACUUGGGUAAUCUGCCUUGUUGUGGGGGAUAACUACGCGAAAGUGUAGGUAAUACCGCAUACGCAGCAUCCACUACGGUGGGUACUGGAAAGGAAGCCGUAAGGCUACCGCAAUAAGAUGAGCUCAAUGCCUAUUAGCUAGUU